Molecule: ribosomal RNA, 418 nt
Filed under: bacterium enrichment culture clone ALO1_GLFRUDD03GEPX5
Lineage: Bacteria
Description: bacterial SSU rRNA
Rfam family: Bacterial small subunit ribosomal RNA
Source: RNAcentral
GAGUUUGAUCGUGGCUCAGAUUGAACGCUGGCGGCAUGCCUUACACAUGCAAGUCGAACGGCAGCACGGGAGCUUGCUCCUGGUGGCGAGUGGCGAACGGGUGAGUAAUGCAUCGGAACGUAUCCUGGAGUGGGGGAUAACGUAGCGAAAGUUACGCUAAUACCGCAUAUUCUGUGAGCAGGAAAGCGGGGGACCUUCGGGCCUCGCGCUCUUGGAGCGGCCGAUGUCGGAUUAGCUAGUUGGUGAGGUAAAGGCUCACCAAGGCGACGAUCCGUAGCAGGUCUGAGAGGAUGAUCUGCCACACUGGAACUGAGACACGGUCCAGACUCCUACGGGAGGCAGCAGUGGGAAUUUUGGACAAUGGGGGCAACCCUGAUCCAGCCAUGCCGCGUGAGUGAAGAAGGCCUCGGUUGUAAGG